Meleagris gallopavo (turkey) is the source of this 1684-nucleotide non-coding RNA. The record is from RefSeq and is a predicted model, not a curated record. Lineage: Eukaryota; Metazoa; Chordata; Aves; Galliformes; Phasianidae.
CGAGGGGCGGGGCGGGCGCGGCAUCCCCGCGUCAAGGUCAGGGUGCGGGGUGCAGGCCCUGUGUCCGGUCACACAUUUGCACCGAUGCGUUCUGGUGGCCGUGGGAAACAAUAAAGCGUUGGCCCAUGCCUAGUGAAAGCAAAAAGGGGUCUCCCAGGCCGAUAAAGAUCCGUUUACAAGCUUGAUUUCAAGUAACAAAACGUGGUUGUGGCAUCAGGCUUGGUAGAGUUCAGGGAGUGUUUGGCCAUUGCUUUCAGACGUAGGGUUGGGAUUUUGGGUGGUGCUGUGUGGAGCCAGGAGUUAGACUCGAUGGUCCUUAUGGGUCUCUUCCAACCCUUCCAGUUUAUGAUGGUUCUAUGAAAAGAUGUGUAUGCCCUGUACAAAUGCAAACUAAAUCACUUAAUAGCUAGCAAUGCACGUAAGUCCCAUGAAUACAGAUAAUGAAGUAAUCACAUGCAAACUUCUGAUAACCUCUAGCAAUGUCAUCAGUGCUGCACAAGGCAUCAAAGGAGAAAACACACCUUCUGAAGACCAGAGGAUUAAGCUGGAAUUGCGUUUCCUGUUUUUCUCUUUGUGACCAUUACCACAAGAGCAGUAACAGAACUCACAGGAAAAGCUGAGCUUCUGGACUCUGACCUACUAAUGGCUCCAGUCUCUGCCUCGUAGAGGAACUCAUGGCAUCACACAAGCAUAAAUCUUUGGCUGUCUGUACUCAAGGGACCGUACAUGAGUGACUCAAAAAUGUUCCAAGCCAAAUAUGUCCUAAAACAUAACAGCCUGACUUGAUGGGUUUCUUUCUCCUAUCAGUCAUCUCAGGUUGACCGCGUUGACCUGAGUGCAGCCACUCGCACAAGUGCUGGAACAUGGCUGUCUGGAGCUCCAGGGAGCAUCAGCUGCAAUUGACUCUGCAAAUUAUUUUUCGUUCAGGAUGCAAAUGAAACAUGCACAUAAGAAUAAGCUUAACUUUAACCAUUUGAGUAAUACCACUGACUUUGUUAAGACAAUGUACUCUGCAUAUUUCAUUUUUAUUACAAGUUCGUAUUGAAAAGCGUGGGGUUGUUUUUGCAUUUGUUGCUUUUCCUGCUCACAAGAAUUGUGACACUAAUGGGACUGUUCUCCUUAAAAAGGUGCAGCGAGUACUUCAUUGAGAUAAAAAUCUUCACAGCUUUCCAGCAUAGUAUUUGUGUGCUAAUGGGACAGUAGCAUAAAGAACUUUACUUAAAGCAUCUAUGCAUAAUUGUUUACUCUCUGAAUUAUUCAUAUAAUUCAGAUUCAUGUGUAUUAUUAUGUUUUAAAAUGUAACAAGCACUGCUCCAGAGAACCUGAUAAUUAAAAAAAGGAAAACAAAAGAAUGAGUGUUCCUGCAGCACUUUGAACAUGCAGAAAUGUAGUUACCAAAAAAGCAAUGAAUAAUGUUGUCAAAAGCUUAUACUGCUGUACCUCCAAUGGCAUAUGAGGAACAGUUUACAUAUUUAAAAACAAUAACAACAGCAAACCACCUCAGAAACUUACUACAACAUAGGAGAACAGUUUCUCUAAAUUGUUUACAGUUUUCCUGGCUUUUAACCAGCUGUACACUAGCACAAUCAAAAGCAAACAGCUGUGGAACAUGAGAAUCACCACCCCCAUGUUAAGUGAAGGCAGUAGUGUUUAAUCACUGGGGGCUGGAGCACCUCUCUUAUGA